RNAcentral lists this ribosomal RNA (254 nucleotides) under uncultured bacterium. RNAcentral's name for it is "partial 16S ribosomal RNA". It matches the Rfam family "Bacterial small subunit ribosomal RNA", at positions 524 to 776 of the family's 1533-position model. The record is from RNAcentral.
UACGUAGGGGGCGAGCGUUGUCCGGAGUUACUGGGCGUAAAGGGCGUGCAGGCGGUGCGGUAAGUUUAGCGUGACAGUCUCCGGCUUAACUGGAGAAGGCCGCUGAAAACUGCUGGACUUGAGGGCCAGAGAGGGACAUAGAAUUCCGGGUGGAGUGGUGAAAUGCGUAGAUAUCCGGAGGAAUACCAAAGGCGAAGGCAGUGUCCUGGCUGGCAACUGACGCUGGAGGCGCGAAAGCUAGGGGAGCGAACAGG